Molecule: ribosomal RNA, 737 nt
Filed under: uncultured Propionibacterium sp.
Lineage: Bacteria; Bacillati; Actinomycetota; Actinomycetes; Propionibacteriales; Propionibacteriaceae
Description: bacterial SSU rRNA
Rfam family: Bacterial small subunit ribosomal RNA
Source: RNAcentral
UUGUGGGGUGCUCGAGUGGCGAACGGGUGAGUAACACGUGAGUAACCUGCCCUUGACUUUGGGAUAACUUCAGGAAACUGGGGCUAAUACCGGAUAGGAGCUCCUGCUGCAUGGUGGGGGUUGGAAAGUUUCGGCGGUUGGGGAUGGACUCGCGGCUUAUCAGCUUGUUGGUGGGGUAGUGGCUUACCAAAGCUUUGACGGGUAGCCGGCCUGAGAGGGUGACCGGCCACAUUGGGACUGAGAUACGGCCCAGACUCCUACGGGAGGCAGCAGUGGGGAAUAUUGCACAAUGGGCGGAAGCCUGAUGCAGCAACGCCGAGUGCGGGAUGACGGCCUUCGGGUUGUAAACCGCUUUCGCCUGUGACGAAGCGUGAGUGACGGUAAUGGGUAAAGAAGCACCGGCUAACUACGUGCCAGCAGCCGCGGUGAUACGUAGGGUGCGAGCGUUGUCCGGAUUUAUUGGGCGUAAAGGGCUCGUAGGUGGUUGAUCGCGUCGGAAGUGUAAUCUUGGGGCUUAACCCUGAGCGUGCUUUCGAUACGGGUUGACUUGAGGAAGGUAGGGGAGAAUGGAAUUCCUGGUGGAGCGGUGGAAUGCGCAGAUAUCAGGAGGAACACCAGUGGCGAAGGCGGCUCUCUGGGCCUUUCCUGACGCUGAGGAGCGAAAGCGUGGGGAGCGAACAGGCUUAGAUACCCUGGUAGUCCACGCUGUAAACGGUGGGUACUAGGUGUGGGGUCCA